GAUGAACGCUAGCGACAGGCUUAACACAUGCAAGUCGAGGGGCAACGGGGGUGAGCAAUCAUCUGCCGGCGACCGGCGCACGGGUGAGUAACACGUAUGCAACCUGCCCGUCACAGGGGGAUAAUCGAGAGAAAUCUCGUCUAAUACCGCAUACACUCUUCGGGAGGCAUCUCCGGGAGAGGAAAGAUUAAUUGGUGACGGAUGGGCAUGCGGGACAUUAGCUGGGUUGGCGGGGGUAACGCCCGACCAAGGCGACGAUGUCUAGGGGUUCGUGAGAGGAAGGUCCCCCGACCACUGGUACUGAGACACGGACCAGACUCCUACGGGAGGGCAGCAGUGAGGAAUAUUGGUCAAUGGGCGAGAGCCUGAACCAGCCAAGUCGCGUGAGGGAAGACGGUCCUACGGGAUUGUAAACC
RNAcentral lists this ribosomal RNA (416 nucleotides) under uncultured bacterium. Its description in RNAcentral is "bacterial SSU rRNA". It matches the Rfam family "Bacterial small subunit ribosomal RNA", at positions 28 to 431 of the family's 1533-position model. The record is from RNAcentral.